AUUUGAGAAGAGGUUGCAGAUGAUCAAGGAGCGACACGUGCAGGGAUGGCUUGAAAAGGGUGAUUGGCUUCAGGGUCCAGGUGAGACCUAGUGGUAACUGAGUUGCAGGUAUGCCAUCAGAGAGCUCCUUCUGCCUGGGCUGCACUUUUGGAAUAAGUCCGCCCGGGCCCAUUUCGGCGGCGCCGCCCGGGCCCAUUU
Molecule: non-coding RNA, 198 nt
Organism: Anas platyrhynchos (mallard)
Lineage: Eukaryota; Metazoa; Chordata; Aves; Anseriformes; Anatidae
Source: RefSeq, a predicted model, not a curated record